Long non-coding RNA from Lolium rigidum, 275 nucleotides. RefSeq lists it as uncharacterized. Lineage: Eukaryota; Viridiplantae; Streptophyta; Magnoliopsida; Poales; Poaceae. The transcript is spliced from 3 exons. The record is from RefSeq and is a predicted model, not a curated record.
CCGAGCUCUCCCAUCAGGACCCAUAGAGGCCUGCAGCGGAAGUUGCCAGCCACGUCCAGCCUCACAUGCAACUAAGGUGCCCAGGAUCUUUUCUUCCUCAUGGUUUCAAUGUUCUGUACUAAUAAGAAUGAGGUAAGAUGAGACGAGUAUUUUAGUUUUGAUGGAGAGAUGGAAAUUCCUGCCUUCUCAGUUUUCAAGGACAAAGAUCAAAUGAUUACCUGUUUCCGACCUCCCAUCCAGAGAGCAAUCAGAGGGAAAGCUUGAAGGCGCUUUAG